Molecule: ribosomal RNA, 452 nt
Filed under: uncultured bacterium
Lineage: Bacteria
Description: bacterial SSU rRNA
Rfam family: Bacterial small subunit ribosomal RNA
Source: RNAcentral
AGAGUUUGAUCCUGGCUCAGGAUGAACGCUGGCGGCGUGGAUAAGGCAUGCAAGUCGAGUGGGUUUAGGCCCACGGCAAACGGGUUCGGAAUACAUAGGAAUUUUCCUCAGAGUCGUGAAUAAUUCGGAGAAAUCCGAGCUAAUACACGAUACGCUCUACGGAGUAAAGAUUUAUCGCUUUGAGAUGAGCCUGUGUCCUAUCAGCUUGUUGGUGAGGUAAAAGCCCACCAAGGCUAUGACGGGUAGGGGGUGUGAGAGCAUGGCCCCCAACAUUGGAACUGAGACACUGUCCAAACACCUACGGGUGGCUGCAGUCGAGAAUAUUCCACAAUGGACGAAAGUCUGAUGGAGCGACGCCGCGUGUGGGAUGAAGGCCUUCGGGUUGUAAACCACUUUUUCAGGGAGCAAUUUCGAUGAGAGUACCUGAAGAAUAAGAGGUUACUAACUCUGUG